This 28-nucleotide non-coding RNA is filed under the name Bombyx mori (domestic silkworm). Lineage: Eukaryota; Metazoa; Arthropoda; Insecta; Lepidoptera; Bombycidae. The record is from RNAcentral.
UCAACAUCUUCAGUAUUAGAAAUCUCGA